AUGGGCUAUUCUGAGACUGAGUCCCUUGCCAUUGCUAACAGGCUCAAUUGCCGCCUUGGAUCCUUCCGCACGACCUACUUGGGAACGCCCAUUAGCGACUCUCGGCUCACCGUCGCGGACCUCCGACCGACCGUGUCCAAGCUUCAGACACGUAUCAAACCUUGGCAGGGUAGGUGGUUGUCAAAGGCGGCUCGGACUAUUCUCAUAAACUCAUCCCUCUCCAGUCUCCUCUUGUUUCUUAUGAGCUUCUACAGCCUGCACGAGACUCUGCACCAUGAGAUCGCCAAAAUCCAGUCCCGCUUCUAUUGGGCUGGCGACAACAAUAAGCAGAAAUAUCAUAUGGUCAGCUGGCCUGACAUCUGCAAGCCCAGGGAACAAGGCGGCCUCGGUAUCAUGUGCUCCAAGCGCAUGAAUAUCACCCUCCUAUCCCGCUGGCUCUGGCGCAUCUCGCAAGGCCAGGGUGGUCUCUGGCUCGAUAUCAUCCGGAGCAAGUACCUGCGUGGACAACCCCUUGCCUUUUGUCAGAGAACUGGCGGCUCGCAGUUCUGGCAGUCGGUCGUCCAGCUUCUCCCAGUCCUUCGCAUCGGGACUUCCAUCUCGGUGGGGUCCGGCACGGAGACUUUGUUUUGGUUUGACCGGUGGGCCAGAGACUCCCCCUUCGUUGCGCGCUUCCCCGACCUCUUCUCCAUAGUGGUAGACCCCUUGAUCUCAGUUGAGAGGGCCCUUAUUGACUUAGUGUGCCUUGCUUUCCGGAGGCCCUUUGGCCCCCCUGAGUCCGCCGCUUGGCGUGAGUUACUAGAUUGUGUGGCUCUCCACGAACCUGUGGUGGACGGUGGCCCGGACCAGGUGAGAUGGCGGCUCGAGCCAUCGGGCCAAUUCUCCACUAAGUCUCUCUACCAUGCCAUCGCCCCCUCCUCCGCCCCUCCCCCCUUGCGACGGUGUGGUCCAUCCGCUUGCCUCUGA
This 963-nucleotide ribosomal RNA is filed under the name Triticum aestivum (bread wheat). RNAcentral's name for it is "partial small subunit ribosomal RNA". Lineage: Eukaryota; Viridiplantae; Streptophyta; Magnoliopsida; Poales; Poaceae. The record is from RNAcentral.